RNAcentral lists this ribosomal RNA (1830 nucleotides) under Providencia rettgeri. Its description in RNAcentral is "partial 23S ribosomal RNA". It matches the Rfam family "Bacterial large subunit ribosomal RNA", at positions 323 to 2136 of the family's 2925-position model. The record is from RNAcentral. Lineage: Bacteria; Pseudomonadati; Pseudomonadota; Gammaproteobacteria; Enterobacterales; Morganellaceae.
UUAGCAUCAGGAGAACGGUCUGGAAAGGCCGGCAGUAAAGGGUGAUAGCCCCGUAUCCGAAGGUGUUGGUGUUGUGAACUCGACGAGUAGGGCGGGACACGUGUUAUCCUGUCUGAAUAUGGGGGGACCAUCCUCCAAGGCUAAAUACUCCUGAUUGACCGAUAGUGAACCAGUACCGUGAGGGAAAGGCGAAAAGAACCCCGGCGAGGGGAGUGAAAUAGAACCUGAAACCGUGUACGUACAAGCAGUGGGAGCCUUGAUUUAUCAGGGUGACUGCGUACCUUUUGUAUAAUGGGUCAGCGACUUAUAUUCUGUAGCAAGGUUAACCGUAUAGGGGAGCCGUAGGGAAACCGAGUCUUAACUGGGCGAAUGAGUUGCAGGGUAUAGACCCGAAACCCGGUGAUCUAGCCAUGGGCAGGUUGAAGGUUGGGUAACACUAACUGGAGGACCGAACCGACUAAUGUUGAAAAAUUAGCGGAUGACUUGUGGCUGGGGGUGAAAGGCCAAUCAAACCGGGAGAUAGCUGGUUCUCCCCGAAAGCUAUUUAGGUAGCGCCUCGUGAACUCAUCUUCGGGGGUAGAGCACUGUUUCGACUAGGGGGUCAUCCCGACUUACCAACUCGAUGCAAACUACGAAUACCGAAGAAUGUUAUCACGGGAGACACACGGCGGGUGCUAACGUUCGUCGUGAAGAGGGAAACAACCCAGACCGCCAGCUAAGGUCCCAAAGUCAUAGUUAAGUGGGAAACGAAGUGGGAAGGCUCAGACAGCCAGGAUGUUGGCUUAGAAGCAGCCAUCAUUUAAAGAAAGCGUAAUAGCUCACUGGUCGAGUCGGCCUGCGCGGAAGAUGUAACGGGGCUAAACUAUGCACCGAAGCUGCGGCAGCGAUAUGUAAAUAUUGUUGGGUAGGGGAGCGUUCUGUAAGCCUGUGAAGGUGUACUGUGAGGUAUGCUGGAGGUAUCAGAAGUGCGAAUGCUGACAUAAGUAACGAUAAUGCGGGUGAAAAACCCGCACGCCGGAAGACCAAGGGUUCCUGUCCAACGUUAAUCGGGGCAGGGUGAGUCGACCCCUAAGGCGAGGCAGAAAUGCGUAGUCGAUGGGAAACGGGUUAAUAUUCCCGUACUGGUGAUAAUUGCGAUGGGGGGACGGAGAAGGCUAGGCUAUCCGGGCGACGGUUGUCCCGGUUUAAGGAUGUAGGCAGGUGAAUUAGGCAAAUCCGGUUCACUACAUGCUGAGGUCCGACGACGAGUCACUACGGUGAUGAAGUAGCUCAUGCCCCGCUUCCAGGAAAAGCCUCUAAGCUCUAGAUUAUCAUUAAUCGUACCCCAAACCGACACAGGUGGUCAGGUAGAGAAUACUCAGGCGCUUGAGAGAACUCGGGUGAAGGAACUAGGCAAAAUGGUGCCGUAACUUCGGGAGAAGGCACGCUGGCGCUAGGUGAAGUCCCUCGCGGAUGGAGCUGAAGCCAGUCGCAGAUACCAGCUGGCUGCAACUGUUUAUUAAAAACACAGCACUGUGCAAACACGAAAGUGGACGUAUACGGUGUGACGCCUGCCCGGUGCUGGAAGGUUAAUUGAUGGGGUUAUCCGUAAGGAGAAGCUCUUGAUCGAAGCCCCAGUAAACGGCGGCCGUAACUAUAACGGUCCUAAGGUAGCGAAAUUCCUUGUCGGGUAAGUUCCGACCUGCACGAAUGGCGUAAUGAUGGCCAGGCUGUCUCCACCCGAGACUCAGUGAAAUUGAACUCGCUGUGAAGAUGCAGUGUACCCGCGGCAAGACGGAAAGACCCCGUGAACCUUUACUAUAGCUUGACACUGAACAUUGAGCCUUGAUG